GACGGUACUUGAUGAAUAAGCCACGGCUAAUUCCGUGCCAGCAGCCGCGGUAAUACGGGAGUGGCAAGCGUUAUCCGGAAUUAUUGGGCGUAAAGCGUCCGCAGGCGGUCUUACAAGUCUGUCGUUAAAGCGUGGAGCUUAACUCCAUUUCGGCGAUGGAAACUGUAAGACUAGAGUGUGGUAGGGGCAGAGGGAAUUCCCGGUGUAGCGGUGAAAUGCGUAGAUAUCGGGAAGAACACCAGUGGCGAAGGCGCUCUGCUGGGCCAUAACUGACGCUCAUGGACGAAAGCUAGGGGAGCGAAAGGGAUUAGAUACCCCUGUAGUCCUAGCCGUAAACGAUGAACACUAGGUGUCGGGGGAAUCGACCCCCUCGGUGUCGUAGCCAACGCGUUAAGUGUUCCGCCUGGGGAGUACGCACGCAAGUGUGAAACUCAAAGGAAUUGACGGGGCCCGCACAAGCGGUGGAGUAUGUGGUUUAAUUCGAUGCAACGCGAAGAACCUUACCAGGGUUUGACAUCCUGCGAAUCCCUUGGAAACUUGGGAGUGCCUUCGGGAGCGCAGUGACAGGUGGUGCAUGGCUGUCGUCAGCUCGUGUCGUGAGAUGUUGGGUUAAGUCCCGCAACGAGCGCAACCCACGUCUUUAGUUGCCAGCAUUCAGUUGGGCACUCUAGAGAGACCGCCGGUGAUAAACCGGAGGAAGGUGUGGAUGACGUCAAGUCAUCAUGCCCCUUACAUCCUGGGCUACACACGUACUACAAUGCUACGGACAAAGGGCAGCAGACUCGCGAGAGCUAGCCAAUCCCAUAAACCGUGGCUCAGUUCAGAUCGUAGGCUGCAACUCGCCUACGUGAAGGAGGAAUCGCUAGUAAUCGCAGGUCAGCAUACUGCGGUGAAUACGUUCCCGGGCCUUGUACACACCGCCCGUCACACCAUGGAAGUUGGCCACGCCCGAAGUCGUUACUCCAACCCUUGUGGAGGAGGAUGC
RNAcentral lists this ribosomal RNA (985 nucleotides) under uncultured cyanobacterium. RNAcentral's name for it is "bacterial SSU rRNA". It matches the Rfam family "Bacterial small subunit ribosomal RNA", at positions 471 to 1456 of the family's 1533-position model. The record is from RNAcentral. Lineage: Bacteria; Bacillati; Cyanobacteriota.